This 253-nucleotide ribosomal RNA is filed under the name uncultured bacterium. RNAcentral describes it as "partial 16S ribosomal RNA". It matches the Rfam family "Bacterial small subunit ribosomal RNA", at positions 524 to 776 of the family's 1533-position model. The record is from RNAcentral.
UACAGAGACUGCAAGCGUUAUUCGGAUUCACUGGGCGUAAAGGGUGCGCAGGCGGUUGGGUGUGUCAGAUGUGAAAUCCCGAGGCUCAACCUCGGAACUGCGUCUGAAACUACUCGACUAGAGUAUUGGAGAGGGUAACGGAAUUCACGGUGUAGCAGUGAAAUGCGUAGAUAUCGUGAGGAACACCAGAGGCGAAGGCGGUUACCUGGACAAUUACUGACGCUCAGGCACGAAAGCAUGGGGAGCAAAAGGG